RNAcentral lists this ribosomal RNA (244 nucleotides) under uncultured bacterium. RNAcentral's name for it is "partial small subunit ribosomal RNA". It matches the Rfam family "Bacterial small subunit ribosomal RNA", at positions 26 to 285 of the family's 1533-position model. The record is from RNAcentral.
AGAAUCAACGCUGGCGGCGUGCCUAACACAUGCAAGUCGAUCGAGAAAGUGGAGCAAUCCAUGAGUAAAGAGGCGCACGGGUGAGUAACACGUGACUAACCUACCUUCGAGUGGGGAAUAACCUGGGGAAACCCGGGCUAAUACCGCAUAAUACCUACGGGUCAAAGGAGCAAUUCGCUUGAAGAGGGGGUCGCGGCAGAUUAGUUAGUUGGCGGGGUAAUGGCCCACAAGGCGAUGAUCGGUA